RNAcentral lists this small nuclear RNA (250 nucleotides) under Salvator merianae (Argentine black and white tegu). Its description in RNAcentral is "7SK RNA (ENSSMRG00000016415.1)". It matches the Rfam family "7SK RNA", at positions 1 to 274 of the family's 331-position model. Rfam says of the family: 7SK was discovered as an abundant small nuclear RNA in the mid-70s but a possible function has only recently been suggested. Two independent studies have found that 7SK RNA binds the CDK9/cyclin T complex (known as elongation factor P-TEFb). P-TEFb activates transcription by phosphorylating the C-terminal domain of RNA polymerase II. Lineage: Eukaryota; Metazoa; Chordata; Lepidosauria; Squamata; Teiidae. The record is from RNAcentral.
GAGUCACAGGGUGCCCUGAUUGUAUACCUCUGAUCACCAGGAUUGAGUGGGCUGAUCUGGCUGGCUAGGUGGGUGGUCCCUUCCUCCCUCAGUGCUCCACAGGUGAUCCUCAGGAAGCUGUGUGCUUGUUGGANGAGGACAACCAUCCCAGAGAGGAGGAGCGUACUGUUCUUCAGCACUCCCUUGCUAGAACCUCCAGACAACCUAAUCAAGAAAUGAUGCAGAUGAAUCAGUGCCUGGAUGCACUAAU